UUGAAUUCUUUUCAUCAUUACCGAUUGGAAUUCAUCACCGUCCAUUCUAAGGGCUACAGAAAUUACAUUGGCUGUCAUGGGCCGGUCACUAUCGUGAUCAUGCAUUGCACCUUCAAACCCUUCAUCCAUGGUGCCAACAAACAAUAAGACUUUUGCUCCUUUAAAUUGUGUAAUAUUCGGUUGAAUUUUGUAGAUAGAGACUGCUUAGAACAAUACUCACUUUUGGAGACGGAAACUGAGAUGGAGAGUGGAGACUAUUGAGAACAACAAUAGCAAAGGAGUUUGAAAAUUUUGAAAGGAGAAGUGAUAUUUGUAGCGUCGGAUCUUUUCAGUGACCGGCGGGGGCCUUUUCCUGCCUUGUUUUUUACAUUUUAUCUUCUAAUUUUAAAUAUUGUGUUAAAAAAAACGCAUAUGUGGGGAUUCGAUUCGAACCCCAAUCAUUAGAUACUUUCUAAGAUUGU
This 461-nucleotide long non-coding RNA is filed under the name Medicago truncatula (barrel medic). RNAcentral describes it as "long non-coding RNA (MTRU_LNC003150)". The record is from RNAcentral. Lineage: Eukaryota; Viridiplantae; Streptophyta; Magnoliopsida; Fabales; Fabaceae.